RNAcentral lists this small RNA (89 nucleotides) under Salmonella enterica subsp. enterica serovar Paratyphi A str. ATCC 9150. Its description in RNAcentral is "rygB; sRNA gene". It matches the Rfam family "OmrA-B family". Lineage: Bacteria; Pseudomonadati; Pseudomonadota; Gammaproteobacteria; Enterobacterales; Enterobacteriaceae. The record is from RNAcentral. RNAcentral also lists the same sequence under 1 other name.
GUGGUGAUCCCAGAGGUAUUGAUUGGUGAGAUUAUUCGGUACGCUCUUCGUACCUGUCUCUUGCACCAACCUGCGCGGAUGCGCAGGUU